Molecule: ribosomal RNA, 422 nt
Filed under: uncultured bacterium
Lineage: Bacteria
Description: bacterial SSU rRNA
Rfam family: Bacterial small subunit ribosomal RNA
Source: RNAcentral
UGAGGAAUAUUGGACAAUGGGUGGAAGCCUGAUCCAGCCAUCCCGCGUGAAGGAUGACGGUCCUAUGGAUUGUAAACUUCUUUUGUACAGGGAUAAACCUGCCCUCGUGAGGGCAGCUGAAGGUACUGUACGAAUAAGCACCGGCUAACUCCGUGCCAGCAGCCGCGGUAAUACGGAGGGUGCGAGCGUUAUCCGGAUUUCUUGGGUUUAAAGGGUCCGUAGGCGGGCCUGUAAGUCAGUGGUGAAAUCUCAUAGCUUAACUAUGAAACUGCCAUUGAUACUGCAGGCCUUGAGUAAAUUUGAAGUGGCUGGAAUAAGUAGUGUAGCGGUGAAAUGCAUAGAUAUUACUUAGAACACCGAUUGCGAAGGCAGGUCACUAAGAUUUAACUGACGCUGAUGGACGAAAGCGUGGGGAGCGAACA